Molecule: ribosomal RNA, 433 nt
Filed under: uncultured bacterium
Lineage: Bacteria
Description: partial 16S ribosomal RNA
Rfam family: Bacterial small subunit ribosomal RNA
Source: RNAcentral
AACGAACGCUGGCGGCAUGCCUAACACAUGCCAGUCGAACGCUCCCUUCGGGGCUAGUGGCGCACGGGUACUUGCCGCCUGGGAACCUGCGCUUAGGUUCGCUAUCUCGCAGCGAAAUUUGACCUAUUACCACGUUAUCUCUUCGCACCUAAGAUUUAUCGCCUUGUGAUGUGCCCUCGUUGGAUUAGAUUGUAGGUGGGGUAAAGGCCUACCAAGGGGAAGAUCCAUAGCUGGUCUGAGAGGAUGAUCAGCAACACUGCGACUGAGACACGGACCAGACUCUUACGGGAGGAAGCAGGUGGGAAUAUGGGACAAUGGGCGAAAGAAUGAGCCAGCAAGGUCGUGUGAGUGAGGAAGGACUUAGGGUUGUAAAGCUCUGUUAACAGGGAUGAUAAUGACAGUACCGGGAGAAUAAGCCACGGCUAACUCCGUG